UCACCCAGGUCCUGGGCUGAGCCAUGCCAUCCACUGGUAUUGUCUAAUAGUUCUUUAAAUGAAUAAAUGAAGACCCAAGUCACUGAUGAUCCUGAGAAUAGCAGAAUAUGGAGCCAGAAAAGACCAAAAAGAACCAGGAGAAAUGAUGUGAUCGAGAUUCAAAUGGAGAGUCGAAUUUGAGCAUCAAUGUAAAGAAACGCUGAAAUAGGUAUGAGGUCAUAGGAUGGAAAUCAGGGAGAUAAAAGAUUAGAAGAAAGAAGUCAAGUUCAGAGAGGAGAGUGGGAGGCGGAGAGCUGACAGAGAUAAUAAGUGCUUUCUAUAGGUUCCUGCGACUUCAUCCAAAGAUAGGACGGAAGCCUAGGGGCAAUCAAUUAGCAAAGACACAUGUUUUCAGGAGGUUUAAUAGAAAUGACUCUUUUAGGGAAAGUGAUCAAGUAUUAUGGUCGUGCUUGAAAAUGUGCCUAGUGCUGGGAGAAGUUAGCUUUCGAAAUAUUUCUUUAUCUUCACCCAAUGCAAAUCGUUUCUAUUUUUAAAUACCUCUCAGCUAUAGAUCUGGGCAUCCUUCAAAAAUUCAUACCCCAGCAUUUCAAUAGAUUCAUCUGGGAAAUCUAUCUUGGAGGUAACCCCAGCCUGAUUUUGCCCAGGCUUGCUAGUUAUGGUUGUGUACAAGUUUUCCUAAUUUCGUGUUGAGGGGUGUCACGUUAGUAGUGUGAAAUUAGCUAUAAUGGGAGUAUUUACACCACAGAAAUAGGUGAAUGCUACUGGUAAUGCCCUUCCCUCAACCUGCUGUUGAACAUUUACGGGCGCACCACACAGGUGAUUUUCCAAUAAACCUUCUAACAACCCCCUCUCAUCUCACCCUCUGUUUCAAUGAGACUAAGUUGAAGACGAAAAUCUUAAAAAUAGUCUGCCUCAUUUGCUCGCCUGGUGAAUAAGUCCCUUCCAAUGCCUCCUUCAUCAGAGAGCUCCAGUAGAGCUCCAGGUCUUUUGGUCACAGAGGCAAAAAAGCUGUCUAAAGCAAUUGAGCAUCCAUCUUUUGGGCUGUGUCUAUAGAAGACAGAGUCACAUGUGUUCCCAGCCACUGUGUGAUGACAACCUCCCAUCAUUCCGCCUCAUGUUCUUCACCAAAGUGGUGGGAUAUACUGGUUUGCACAUAAGUGAAGUCUAAAGAUGCACGCAAGUUUAUGUCCCUUCAGGAACCAUCAACCAGUGGGGCUGGGGGCUCUCGAAUGCAUCCUCUAGCCUCUCCUCUUUCUGGUAGGUCAAAACAUCUGCAUUAUUUCCAGAGGUUAGGGAGGAACUUUUUUCCUUGUGGCCUUCAGUUGAUAAAUUUCAGGAAGUCUCCAUGGGAGUUUUUAAAUGACGCAUCUCCUUGGGUUGAGAUGGAAGGCACAACCCCAGCACACGUCCUGUGCUAGCAGGACCAUCCUAGGGAAGAAGCGAGACCUUGAGGCAUGGAGUUGGGACAUUUGGGUAAAUGUGUCUGUAAAAUUUGUACCUGUGGAUUUCCCUCAACCCUCUUGGGCAAUAGAGACAGGCUAUUUUCUCUUGUUAGAGGAGAAUAGCUUUCCCCUCCUGCUAUUCUUCUGAGAUAUGAGAAACCUUUCCUGAGAUGGGUUUUCCUCAAAAUAAUGCUGUUUUCCUCAUUAUCUAUCUCUCGAGGAUUCAUUGUUUUCCUACCACUAACUGGAUCAUUUACAUAUCUAAUCAUAUGUAAAUUGAGUGAAAACAAUCCUUUUCCAGAGAAUCAUAGCUUACUCACUAAAGGAAUUUAAGACCAAGCUAAUCCAUACCAGCAGGAAAAUUCAAGAAAUAUAUGGGGGAGAGAAUCUUGAUGGUGUUGAAGCAGGUGAGACAGAACACAGAGCUGUGUACGAAUGAAUUUAUUGAUGUAAGAAACUUCUUCGUGGUUUAGGGUCUAGCAUUCUGGUAAAGACACCCGGACAUGUCCUACAAAGCUUAUGGAAAGGCUACUUGAACUUGGGCGUGAUGACUGGCUACACUAAAUGAAUAAGGUAUGGCAGAGUAUUGUGGAAUGGGCAACAAGGCUGAGGGAAGUAAAAGUGUUGGGAUGGAGUACCACUGAACACUCUGCUCUUCCUGCAGGAGGGAUCAGAAGUCAUGGCUUUCGGUGGGCAAUUAGUAAUACUCUAGUGAGGGGGCAGCAGCAGGACUGAAAAGUUCAAUCGUGGCUAACUGUUACAGAUCAGGUGACGCUGCCAUGCAACUGGGCUCCAGAGACGCAGAAGCUAGCUGGCAGCACUUUACACUGGAGGCAAGGUGGUCGUAGUGACCACACUUGGCAGCAAAGGCUGGGAUGACAACCAGAGUUCUCUGACUCCCAGGCAUCUGCCAGAAUGACUGACAGAUGAUAAUGUUCUUCGAGGUGAGAUGAAAGGUGAUAGAUGAUAGGAAGCUGAUGAGGGGAUUGCUUGUUUUGUAUAAUGGGAAGUAAUUGAGAAGUGAUGAGCAGAUACAUCAGCUCCAGCCAUGGAAAAUUGCAGUUCUUUCCUUGAUCUCUAGAUU
This is a non-coding RNA of Ictidomys tridecemlineatus (thirteen-lined ground squirrel), 2526 nucleotides long. The record is from RefSeq and is a predicted model, not a curated record. Lineage: Eukaryota; Metazoa; Chordata; Mammalia; Rodentia; Sciuridae.